This 442-nucleotide ribosomal RNA is filed under the name uncultured bacterium. RNAcentral describes it as "partial 16S ribosomal RNA". It matches the Rfam family "Bacterial small subunit ribosomal RNA", at positions 339 to 795 of the family's 1533-position model. The record is from RNAcentral.
CUACGGGUUGCAGCAGUGGGGAAUAUUGGGCAAUGGGCGCAAGCCUGACCCAGCAACGCCGCGUGAGGGAAGAAUGUCUUCGGAUUGUAAACCUCUGUCCUUGGGGACGAAAAAAAUGACGGUACCCAAGGAGGAAGCUCCGGCUAACUACGUGCCAGCAGCCGCGGUAAUACGUAGGGAGCAAGCGUUGUCCGGAAUUAUUGGGCGUAAAGGGUGCGUAGGCGGCGCUGUAAGUCAGAUGUGAAAUCCCCAGGCUUAACUUGGGAGUUGCAUUUGAAACUGGAGUGCUUGAGUGAAGAAGAGGAAAGUGGAAUUCCUAGUGUAGCGGUGGAAUGCGUAGAUAUUAGGAGGAACACCAGUGGCGAAGGCGACUUGCUGGUCUUUUACUGACGCUGAGGCACGAAAGCGUGGGGAGCAAACAGGAUUAGAUACCCCAGUAGUC